UGGCCUUCCCACCGCGGCCCCUCGACUCCCGCCGCGAGAGCAGGCGCGCACGCGGGGUGCUGGGCGGCGUCGCGGGGACUGCGAGUUGCCCUGACGGCUCGAGAGCAGCGCGGUAACUCGUGAGGAGGGGCUCUUCCGUAGCGCACCGAGCCCAGCACCCAGCCCACUCUCCGGGAGGCCCCUGAAGGCGGUGUGGCCGUGGCAGUUCCGCAGAGGACCAGCUAGGGUCCAAACCUCCCCGCCUGACACCCAGGAGGAGCUAACCGGCUGACGGCGAGGACUGCACCGGUGGACCCCAGCUCUCCGGGCAAGCACGGGAAGCCGCAGUGCAGUGUUGACUCGGGCGCUCUCUGCCCUGGGGGUGCUCUCUGCUCGAGCCCUUCUUAGCUUUCACUCGUAAUACAUUCCUCUUGCUUGGCUUUUCGUGUCUGACUUUAAAAUUUUCUUCCGACUCCAGAACUAGAUUUGGAGUUCAAGCUCGACUGGGACCAGCGCCACCCACCUACAGGACAGGACACAGAACUGAGGUUUGGAGCUCCUGCUCCUUACUCUCCUGUGACAAGGUGGUGUCCAGGACAAGAGCUGAGAGAUUGACCUGCAGCUGGGGAGGAGGAGUCCUCUAAACAGGACCACCAGGGCCCUGGUGGACAGCAAGCCUGGGACAACUCAAGAUCCUCAUGUGGGUUCAGUUCCUGAGCAGGAGAGUGGGCUGCAGACUGAUUGUCCCCCUCCUUGGUCCUGCUGAAGUCACACAGACUUCAGGACCCCUUCCUCUGGGGUCCUGACCCCAGUGGUCCUGGGGGCUGCCCAUCGUGCCUUAGGAGGCCUGUGCUGGCUCCAGCUGGACACUGACUUUGGAGGUGGCAAAUACUGCUGGUGGGGAGAAGGUGGAGCAGGCGACCAGGCCCCCUGGAGUGCAGUAGUGGUUGGACAGGGCAGCUGUGGUGACUUCGAGGUUGGCACUGCAGGCUGAGUCGGGCUCUGGCCCCUGGUGUGCUCUCUCAGUGGGACACUAAACCUUGGCUGCCUUUCUGGCCAGUUAAAUAAACCUGGAACUGGUAAAGUUUCAUAAUCAAUGUAAA
Molecule: long non-coding RNA, 1082 nt
Organism: Marmota monax (woodchuck)
Lineage: Eukaryota; Metazoa; Chordata; Mammalia; Rodentia; Sciuridae
Exons: 2
Source: RefSeq, a predicted model, not a curated record